RNAcentral lists this long non-coding RNA (437 nucleotides) under Elaeis guineensis (African oil palm). RNAcentral's name for it is "long non-coding RNA (EGUI_LNC064694)". Lineage: Eukaryota; Viridiplantae; Streptophyta; Magnoliopsida; Arecales; Arecaceae. The record is from RNAcentral.
GGGGCUAACUUACCAACCCUAACAAAGCCCAAAUCAUGUGAGAAGUAGAGGGAGACCCUUAGGGAAGCUCUAGAGGGCUAACUUACCAGACCCUUAAGAAAAUCUCGAUGACUUCGAGGUGGGGCUAACUUACCUAACCCCAGCAAAGCUCAAGUCACAUAAGAAGCAGAGGGAGACCCUUAGAGAAUCUUCGGAGGGCUAAUUUAUCAUACCCUCAAGAAAAUCUCGAUGACUUUGAGGUGGGGCUAACUUAUCAUAUCCCAAUAUAGCCCAAGUCAUGUGAGAAGUAGAGAAAGAUCCUUAAGAAACCUCUGGAGGGCUAACUAAUCAGACCCUCAGAAUACCGUCGAGAGUGCAAGAUGCCGUAGGCAUAAGCUCGCUGUUGGUAUACACUGCCUUUUACGUAAAGACGAGAAGUACUAGAUUCCAUAGGCACA